CUGGACGACCCGGAGCUGAGG
Molecule: unclassified non-coding RNA, 21 nt
Filed under: Mus musculus (house mouse)
Lineage: Eukaryota; Metazoa; Chordata; Mammalia; Rodentia; Muridae
Description: oocyte_clustered_small_RNA8522
Source: RNAcentral